CAGUGGAUGUGAUUCAGCCAGGUUUUUGCUGCCUGACCAGGUGACAUCUCUGGGAUUCUGAAGGCACAGGGUUGUCACCGUGGGUUCCACAACCCUAAAGUGAUCAAAGCUGCACACAAUAUUCAAGGUGAGGCUGCACCAGUGCAGAGCAGAGUGAGAGCUACCCAUCAAUCUGCGUCUAAUUAAGACUAAUGGAAGCCAACAAUGCUAUCUCUAAGUGCACAUGGACCUCUGUGGCUGUGUUUCCAAAAUCCUGGAGGGAGGGAGCCAUCAGGGAGAAGGAUGGGGAGUGCUCGGCACUGAGACCAGAUAUACCACAGAAGCCGUAUCUUUCUUGGGCCAGAAGUUGCUGGACUAUACACUCAGAAGAAAUUGUAUCUUUUAUUUUAAAGCUGAAGAGAAAGUUUGAAGCUGACAGGCUCACUGC
Long non-coding RNA from Lepidothrix coronata (blue-crowned manakin), 427 nucleotides. RefSeq lists it as uncharacterized. The record is from RefSeq and is a predicted model, not a curated record. NCBI's taxonomy places the organism in Eukaryota, Metazoa, Chordata, Aves, Passeriformes, Pipridae. The transcript is spliced from 3 exons.